RNAcentral lists this long non-coding RNA (1480 nucleotides) under Physcomitrium patens. Its description in RNAcentral is "long non-coding RNA (PPAT_LNC014833)". The record is from RNAcentral. Lineage: Eukaryota; Viridiplantae; Streptophyta; Bryopsida; Funariales; Funariaceae.
UCCCUGUGUACCAAUCUUUGAAUAAGAGAUAUAACCAUGCGAAAGAUGGGGGAAAUGCCACACUAUCAGGUUCGCUAACUAGCAAUGCGAACGAUCGACAGCUUGUUACAAAGACAUCUGAAUAUUGCUACUCAAUACAGAGAGGUAAAGAUGAUGAAUCUACCCUAUCUGAAACCGUAUGUUUUUUUACUCACAACCUCCAUCAGUGUGAUUAAAAUUUUGGCACUUAAGUAUAAACAUGUUCACCUGCGAUGGUUGAGAGGAAAUACCAGCGUUUUGUACACGCAAUUCCUCUUGCAGAGAAACACUCAGCUUGCCUCGCUCCACGGGAAUGCGGGCCAUAACGUUAACUAAUUGGUCUAAUAACUUCUUGUCUUCAUCGUGCGUCGAGUUCCGAGUGAACCAUAACGCCAACGUGAUCCGCUCCCCAUCUGUAACCUAUUCCGAGUACCCGUACAAGUUGGAACCGUUUACGUACUUAUAUAGUUGGACACAAAGCAGAAGUAGGAUAAUACUAGUACAGGAAUUUUUGCAACUAACCUCAUUAACACAGUGCACAUUCUCCUUGUUAGCGGAGUAGAUCAAGACGGUCUGGACAUGAACACAACCGUAAGGCACUUAGCGAAUCAAACUGUUAUUAAAGCUUCAAAAAAUCCGGGGAAUGGGAAAUGUCACUGAAUCACUCUCCGACACGAGAUCAGAAGAAACAUGAACAGCGUAAGUGAAUCAAACCGCAAUGACUUCUCAACUUCUCAAUGCAACGAUUUCUUACCCCCAUAGUUGGAACCACCGUCGCUGGUUCGCCAUCUUGAAAAUGGAAUAGGCCGCCAUGGAAGUCUUGUUCGUAAGUGUUCAAGUAGCAGACGGCCUGCGCAUGAUUGACUAGAAGGAUUGUUGAGACCAUUCCUAAAAAUAAACACUGUUGGUCGAAUUGGUUUCAAGUUGUUGGACCUCUAUGAACUGAAACAGACCGAGAAAUGCCGCUGUCGCAAAUAAUCUCGAUUGUCGUCGCUGUGCCAUCCUAUGUUUGCACCCCUUCUCCAGCUGCAUCCCCAUUUUCCUGUUAUUAGAUGUAACAUAAUUAAACCAAUUCACUCUGUACGAAAGUCACUAAAAGAGUAACAGUGAAACACGAUUCUUGGAUUUACUCCUGGACUACGAUGUGUGUUGAAAUAGCCAAAGUGCGUAUUAUGAUUGCAAAUUACACAGAUGCAACAAACGAUUGUCAUCAGGAAUUUGUUUUUUAAUAUAUUCAAUCAUAUUAUAAUCCAAAUUCCUUCAUCUUUAACAGCGGACGAGUUUCAAUGACUGACAAAAAGAUGUCAAAAUUUGCAAAUGGUAGACAGAACUGACCUAAUCAGACCAGUGAACUCAACGAAGAGCUCGAACUCACAUCCGAAAAACUCUUCAACGGCCUCCUUCACCCUCUCUGAGAUCGGCAACCAACAGAGGAACACCAAGCCGAUAAGAGCUAGGCAUG